UUUACACCAUAAAAUGUAACUAUUUAGAUAGUUUUCGUUAUUUUUCAGAAUUGUGUCGCGAUUGUAGACUGUUUUGUAUGUCUACGCAUAUGUGUAGACUUACGUUGCGGUAUACUUGUCAAUGCACAAGUUAUUUUUGAAAUUGCCAAAAUAUUUUUUUUUUUUUGUAAAAAAGACUUCCCUAGAAAUCUAUGUCCUUA
RNAcentral lists this long non-coding RNA (200 nucleotides) under Brassica rapa (field mustard). RNAcentral's name for it is "long non-coding RNA (BRAP_LNC001359)". Lineage: Eukaryota; Viridiplantae; Streptophyta; Magnoliopsida; Brassicales; Brassicaceae. The record is from RNAcentral.